This 273-nucleotide ribosomal RNA is filed under the name uncultured Staphylococcus sp. RNAcentral's name for it is "partial 16S ribosomal RNA". It matches the Rfam family "Bacterial small subunit ribosomal RNA", at positions 505 to 777 of the family's 1533-position model. The record is from RNAcentral. Lineage: Bacteria; Bacillati; Bacillota; Bacilli; Caryophanales; Staphylococcaceae.
GUGCCAGCCGCCGCGGUAAUACGUAGGUGGCAAGCGUUAUCCGGAAUUAUUGGGCGUAAAGCGCGCGUAGGCGGUUUUUUAAGUCUGAUGUGAAAGCCCACGGCUCAACCGUGGAGGGUCAUUGGAAACUGGAAAACUUGAGUGCAGAAGAGGAAAGUGGAAUUCCAUGUGUAGCGGUGAAAUGCGCAGAGAUAUGGAGGAACACCAGUGGCGAAGGCGACUUUCUGGUCUGUAACUGACGCUGAUGUGCGAAAGCGUGGGGAUCAAACAGGA